Molecule: ribosomal RNA, 859 nt
Filed under: Prodorylaimus sp. D7
Lineage: Eukaryota; Metazoa; Nematoda; Enoplea; Dorylaimida; Dorylaimidae
Description: partial large subunit ribosomal RNA
Rfam family: Eukaryotic large subunit ribosomal RNA
Source: RNAcentral
GGAGAAUGAAAGAACUUGAAGAGAGAGUCAAAAGGGCGUGAACCGCUUAGAAUAAACGGACGGAGCCGUCAGGAGCUCUCGAGACUCAGUCGUCUAGUUGAAGGUGAAAGUGUAUGCGUUUUCGGUGAACAUAAAAGUCGCCAGCGUGUAUAUUAGUAUUACCGAUAGUCGACGCAUUUCUCGAGAGUAAGCAAUGCAACCGAUACGAAAGGCUAACGAGGUGAAUGGAUUGAGGUCUAGCGUUCUUGCGGACGUUAGUUACCAGUCUAUUCGCGCUUAAGUCGUUAGACCGCAGUAUGUAUCGAGCGCUAAUUAAAAUGAAAAUAUGUCGACCGUUUCUGGUUCGUCGAACGAUGGAUAAUCGGCUAGUCGAUUGGUUACCUACUCGUAGGUGCUAAUUCGUCUUAUAUUAUAUCGGUCGAUUUAGAAGUCGUCGACGACUCGACAUAUAGGCGUUUGCAUUGUCAGAGUCGGUCACCCGUCCGACCCGUCUUGAAACACGGACCAAGGAGUCUAACAUAUGCGCGAGCCAAUAGGUGGAAAACCUAAAGGCGCAAUAAAAGUGAAGGCUAUUUUUUUAAAUGGUCGAGGUACGAUCUUGGACUGGUAUUCCCUUAAACAAGGAAUAUUUUUGCUCUAAGCGCAGUACCGUCUCAUCCCUAAGGCAUGUCCUAAGGGUGAAGAUAGAGUGCAUACGUUGGGACCCGAAAGAUGGUGAACUAUGCCUGAGCAGAGCGAAGCCAGAGGAAACUCUGGUGGAGGUUCGUAGCGGUUCUGACGUGCAAAUCGAUCGUCAGACUUGGGUAUAGGGGCGAAAGACUAAUCGAACCUCAUACGGGGGGUCCCUUCUCACAAAAAA